CAGGUGGAGUCUUGCUCUGUCGUCUAGGCUGGAGUGCAAUGGCGCGAUCUUGGCUCACUGCAACCUCAGCCUCCCAGUAGAGACAAGAUUUCACCAUGUUGGCCAGCUUGGUCUCGAACUCCUGACCUCAAGUGAUCCACCCGCCUCAGCCUCCCAAAGUGCUGGGAUUACAAUAGG
Long non-coding RNA from Pan troglodytes (chimpanzee), 177 nucleotides. RefSeq lists it as uncharacterized. The transcript is spliced from 2 exons. The record is from RefSeq and is a predicted model, not a curated record. Lineage: Eukaryota; Metazoa; Chordata; Mammalia; Primates; Hominidae.